GACUCCUACGGGAGGCAGCAGUGGGGAAUAUUGGGCAAUGGGCGCAAGCCUGACCCAGCAACGCCGCGUGAAGGAAGAAGGCUUUCGGGUUGUAAACUUCUUUUGUCAGGGACGAAACAAAUGACGGUACCUGACGAAUAAGCCACGGCUAACUACGUGC
RNAcentral lists this ribosomal RNA (160 nucleotides) under uncultured bacterium. Its description in RNAcentral is "partial 16S ribosomal RNA". It matches the Rfam family "Bacterial small subunit ribosomal RNA", at positions 334 to 508 of the family's 1533-position model. The record is from RNAcentral.